GCCUGGAUAGCUUAGCUGGUUAGAGCGUGGUGCUGAUAAUGUCAAGGUUGCUGGUUCGAUCCCCAUAAGGAACAGCGGCA
Molecule: transfer RNA, 80 nt
Filed under: Podarcis lilfordi (Lilford's wall lizard)
Lineage: Eukaryota; Metazoa; Chordata; Lepidosauria; Squamata; Lacertidae
Description: tRNA.Ile
Source: RNAcentral